Molecule: long non-coding RNA, 5042 nt
Filed under: Daphnia magna
Lineage: Eukaryota; Metazoa; Arthropoda; Branchiopoda; Diplostraca; Daphniidae
Description: uncharacterized LOC123475479, transcript variant X2
Source: RNAcentral
GCGGAGGAAGGAGUCUCAUCAUCCGCUGGAGCAAUUUCAGGAACAGCAGUCACCGAGACGGGCUCCCUAGCUGGUUUCUCUUCGAUCGGUUGUUCGGCAGCGACGGAAGGAAGGCGAGGCUUUCUCCAUGAAGUUGUUUCCGUACGGUGCGUCGGUAUCAACGUUGGCCAAACUUCCUGCCGCGGGAUCUUCUUUAAUUGGAUCAUUUCAGGUUCCGGUGCGUCCUGUUUAGGCUUCUGAGGCGUACGCUUCAGUACAACCUGUUGCGGAAUUUGCACUUGUUCCGGUUGUUGUGGAGAGCGUUUAAGCGAUUUGCUGAUCACAACUAGUUUUGGAGACUCAUCGGGUUCGGCAAUUGUUCUUUCAGUUGCAACAGAUUCAACCUCUUCGGGUGUGGUUAUUUCCGGAGUUGGUUUCAGUAGGAUUUCAGUGACGACUUUGGGUUCGAUCUCCUUGAGUGGGGGCGUGACGGGUUUGAAAAUCAUCGUGGCAUCUGAUGUCACGUCCGUCGUCUUUUGCGGAACCCGUGACAUAGACGUGGGAAUGUUUGGUUGCGUUUCAGGAGUUGCACUAGGAACUUCUCGUUGCGGUAUCUUCUUUAACUUGAUCGCCUCGGGUUGCGGCUCUUCCACCUUGGGCUUUUGCGGCGUACGCUUCAGCACGACUUGCUGUGGGCUCUGCACUAAUUCCGGUUCUCGAGGGGAGCGUCUAACUGAUUUGCUCGGUUGAGGAGUCUGUGGAAUUUCUUUGGAUUCUGAAGGAACUGUUUCAAAAUUUGAAUCGAUCUUUACCUGAGUUUUGGGCGCUUCCUCAGGUAAGACUUUAGGAACUAUUUGUGAUUCUUGCUUAGGUACGGGAGUAACAGCUUGUUUUAAAGUGAUUUUCCUUUCAAUUAGAACGUCUUUUGUCUGUUCAGGUUCGGUUUCCGCAACGCAAGUUGGAAUGCUAAUUUUGGUAGUUUCAUCCGGUUUGGAAACAGGGACUGAAACCGUUUUUUCUUUAACUUCAGGCAAAUGUGGAACGGCUGGAACGAUUUUCUUUCUCCAGGGCACUUCUCGUUUGGCUUCUAGUGCUUCCGGUGCGCUUUCCGGAAGAGUGACGCUUGUCGGCAUGGCAGGUUGGCCUUCAUCCUUUUCUGAUGGUGGCUGACUUUGACUUACUUGAUCGGGACUGCUUUUGGCAAGUGUAAGUGUCGAUUCUAUGGUCUGUUGAGGUAUUACGUCACGCUGGAUGCUUCUGACUUCCAUUUCGUCUGAUGGAAGUUGCUGUUCUUCCUCAUUCUGACGGCCUACAACGGGUUUUAAUCGGAUCUCAGCUCUUUCUGGAAUUUCUUUUGGUUUUCUUUCUGGCACUUUCUUCAGCUGAAUUCCGACGAAUUCAACAACUUCUGGUUGGGAUUUCUGUAGAGUUCGUUUCGGAACUACUUCAGCAAUUUUUACUUCCUCAUCUCGUCGAUAAACAGGCUUCAGGGUAAUGCUAGAUUCUUCUGUGUCUUUCGAUUUGUGUGGCACUCUUUUCAGCUGGAUAUUUUCCUGUACAGUUUCUUCCUGCUUUAUUUUCUGUGAUGUACGUUUGAGAACUACUUCUGGAAUUUUGUCAGCCUCGUCAAUAGUUUCUCUCUGUUUCUUGCCUGGGAUUGCUGAGGGCUCGGCUGCAGGCGAUGGCAAAUUGGCAUCGAUCGUAAUUGACUCUGACGGGAGUUACAAUGUUUUCUGGCUCUUGAUCAACUGGCGUGGGCUCCAUCGGCUCCUUCACUUCCGCAAUCGUCGUCUGCGAGAUGAUACUCUCCGGCUCAUGCUUCAAUUGCUCGCUAGGUGACACCACCAGCUCACCCUCCGUUGAAGUCGAUUUUGCAACAACAGAUUUGAGUUCUUUUGGUUCUUCUUUCUUUGGAGUCGGUUUGAGAUCCUUUCUUGUAACUUUUUUCAAUUCUACCUUGCUUGAUUCGAUCUUGCUCUCACUAGGUGAUUGUGGAGUCCUUUUCAAUUGAAUUUCCGGCACGAUCUCUGUAACAAUAGCUUCUUUUGAUUUCGGAAGUUGUUUGAGUGAAACUUGCUCUGUUAUUGCUUUCAACGUCUCCUCUUUAUUUUCGAAUUCUAUUUCAAAUGUUUGUUCUGUCUGAUUCACUGGAGUAGCUUCUUUUUUACGUUCCAUGGAAACGGAAGACCUUUGUGUUGUUUCUUCCGUCGGUUUGAUUGAUUCCGGAGUUGGUUUUUGAGGGAUUGCUGGUUUCGUAAUGGCUGUCUUUGGAACAAAUUCUUUCGGUUUUGGUGUUGUAAUAGUUGGUUUAGUCUUUUGCUUUAAAACUGGAACCUCAGUUGAUGACAUUUCUGCUGGUAAUUCGAUUGGGCUGGCCUGCAAAACGGCUUUGGAGCUAUCUGGCAAAUCUGUUGGUUCGUGACCAAACUCUUCUGUCUGAUAUUCAAAUUGCUUCGAUUGUUCAAUCUUCGCUUUUUGGGGAAUCGGUUUGAGUUCGACUCGCUGGUCAGGUUUAGCAAUUUCUUUGGGUUUCUGUGGCGUCUUUUUCAGCUCAACUCUACCGAAUGUCUCAGUUUGUUCUGCUUUCUUUAACGUGGACUUGAUUUCCGUCUUUUUCUCAACCAGUUUUUCAUCUUGGUCGAUGGGUUUCAAAACUACAAGCGAAUCGCCCAAAGUCGUUUGAAUUUGCGACGGUAUUUUCUUCAAAACCACUUGGAUGGGUUCCUUUUCAUCGGCUUUCGGCUUUUGGGGCGUUGGCUUGAGUUCCACCUGCGGGAUGGGCUCGUCUUGAACUACCUUUUCGAUUGAAAUCGGCUUCGUCUUAUCUCUAGAUUUAUGCAACGUCCCACCCGAAAUUGCGUCCUGCUCUUUCGCUACGGUGGCCAACUUUUGCGUGAGGAAAGCUUUGGCAGAUUGUUUUUUAUCAACUCCCUUAUGAACUGCUGGAACUUGGCUGAUUUCAACUGACGUGGGCGAUCCCUUUCGAAGCAUUUGCUUACCGGCCUUCCAUUCGAUAACAUCCAACAACUGACUGCUAGCAUCUCUUUUCUCCGGAGAAACAUCACGACUCCCGGAUGUCUUACGCAAUUGAACUGAUUUCCAGGGCACGCCCAGUUGAGGCUGACCUUCCGAUUGACACGGAGCGGCCGGCGAGCUAUCCCUCGAAGUCUUUUUCAGCAUUUGAACGCCAAUCUUCCAUGGAACAUUGGCCUCUUGCGGCACGUCUGGAAGAUCGGCCUUUGUAGGCGAACUUUCUCUCGAUGUCUUUUUCAAAAGUUGGACUCCGCUCUUCCAGGGAAUGUCGGCCGACGCCCUGGAGGCCAGGGGCGGUACCGUGUCGACCAAAGACGUCCGCCUAUUGGGCGAAGAUUUCCUCAGCCUUUCAGCACCGCCCUUCCAUGCAGGAGACGUUUUGACCGACGUUUCUUCGGCCUUUAGUUGUUGCGGUUUCUUCAACAGUUGCAAACCUUGCUUCCAGGCUGGUUCGUUUUUCUUAACAGAUAACUGGCCAGGACGCCUGUCUUCCGACCUGCUCCUUUUGCGCCACGGAGCCUCUUCUAUCAUAGGGAUCCUCUCCGUGGGCGGAGAACUGGAUUCUCUCCUUCUCCAAGGAGCAACUUGAUGACCCACUUCUGACCGGCUAGUCCGUCUCUGCUCAUCGGUAGACGUUGUGGCAACGGAGACGUUAGCCGCAGUCUUAACGGAGAUGCUAGUCGUCUGGUCAUGGCUAGGCGUCUUUGGUCCUUUGUGAUGACCAACCCGUUGAAAUCGGGCCUGUUUCCCUGUACACGAGGUCGACAUGGAGAGAGAGGAGAGAACGCACUCUGUUGAUUACAAGUUUACAACCCGGUGCCUUGGCUUGUUAUCAUUAGAGUUGCCAGCUGUGAAACGUUGGCGGUACCACCCACUGCAUAGGUGAGGUCCUGUCGCCACGACCAUAUUUGAAGCUAAUGACGAGAGUGGAGGAUAGAAAGAGAUCUUGCGUGAGUCAGCGGUAAUGACUCACGCACCCUUGGAAGUAUCUAGAGUUCCAGAACAGCCAAACUAACUAACACAACAAAAACAAACGGAAAAAAUUGUUUGUAGGGAGUACACGAAAAGAUCUCGAAUCGGCAGUUACCGACUAGACUCGGUCGCAGUCGGUCGUUCAAACAGAAACAUCUCAUUUUGGGGUUUUAACGUAUAGAUCUGAACCGGCCCCCAGAAGAACGAAUGAAAUUCUACAAGGUACAACCAGAAGAGUUUUGUGUCGUUGGUGUUCAUUUUCUCUCUCUCUCUCUUUUCAAAAUUAAAUAAUUGUGUUUUUAAUGUGUGGUUAAUUGAAAGAAGACAUUUCUCAAUUUUCUUUCGUGUCACGUCUUUUUUUUGUUUUUGUUUUGUUUUGAUUUUGGUUGUUUUCUUUUUCAUGCAAAUCAAGGUCAUUGUAAAAAUAAAAAAAAAAAAAAAACGAAGACAACAAAAUAAAAAAAAUUUCCAACAACAAUCCAAAUAGAUUUACUUGGUUUUUCCUGGCCAACAUGCUUUGUGCUCGUGUAUUUCGACGGUGUCAUGUGUGUGGAAUAAAAAAAAAAAUAAUAUAUUAACUACUAGAAUUUUUUGUUCUCGUUCGUUUCGUUUUGAAACUUGCUUGUAUUUUUUUUUUUUUUGAGAGGGAAAAAAAAUAAAAGUAGGCAGAACGGACAGGGGGAGAGCGGGACAGCGCGCAAAAAAGGGGGCGAGGGCGGAAGAGCCAUUUAAAAUUCAAAAAUUUCAAAAGAAAAACAAAAAAAAAAGGCCGACAUGAAAAAAUAUUCAUCAAAAGAGCGUUUGGGUGUGGCACGACAACGACAAUAAGAAAUAAGAAAAAGCCUUUAUCUUUUUUUUUGCUCUACAUCAAAUAUGGCGUUUGUGAUUAUAUCAAAGGAUUUUUUUGUCCAAAUAUAAAAAAGCUGCGAUCACCUUCCAAACGAAUGAGUAGGAAAAUAAUUGUCAAAAAUUGUAAAAUUUCAAAAGGCACUUCAAAGGGGUAGAGAGUUGGGUUUUUGUUUUAUGCUCUCACUACAAUGAUCCAAAAAAGUGUGGAA